Molecule: ribosomal RNA, 564 nt
Filed under: Triticum aestivum (bread wheat)
Lineage: Eukaryota; Viridiplantae; Streptophyta; Magnoliopsida; Poales; Poaceae
Description: partial small subunit ribosomal RNA
Source: RNAcentral
GAUUUACUUGGCUCAAUUAAAGACAACAGAUACAAGGAUCAAAAACUAAGACUGAAGAAAUGUGGGCUAAGGAAGCUAAUAUAUCUAGUUGAAGGAGAUGUAAACACUGUAGAUGGAUCAGAGAGCGUUAAAACAGCCUGCUUCACUACUGAGGUUCUUGAAGGAUUUGAUGUCCAAAGAACCACUGGGUAUGCUGAUACCGAAAAGAAAUAUGGCCACUUCACACGCUCGAUAAUUGGCUACUACAGCAGAAACUUCUCUGCUGGUGCUGACAGCUCUCGAGUUUGCCUGACUUAUGAUGAGUUUGUGAAAAGGUGUUCUAACCUUGAGAAGGUCACUAUGAGCGACAUAUUCGCCCUUCAGCUUAUGCAGGUGCCACAAGUGACAGAAGAAGCUGCUCUUGCUGUCACGAGUCUCUACCCCACUCUUCCCUCACUUGCUAAGGCGUACACCAUGCUUGAUGGCGAUAGGCAUGCCCAGGAGGAGAUGCUGAAGAACAAGAGCGACAUGGUCAACGCGGGGGCUAGCAAGAACAUCUUCAAGCUCAUCGGGGUGGAAGGAUGA